UACCGAGUGCUGUGUGAGGGAAGGAAGGCGCAAAGGACAACGUGGGGGAGGGCGGGCUGGAGUCCUAGUAGAAGCUGCUGAGAAGAGAAAUGUCCCUAGGUUCAAGUGGGUUGGAGAGAGGCAGCCUGCAGUGGUGGUCUAGGUCCCUGUACCUCUGAUCCCUGGCUCUAGAGCCCGCAAAGUGGACACAGCAGUGGGCAAUUAUAAUAUUGAGCGCCACGAGGAGAGAAGCCAGUUGAAGAGGUCAGGAGUAUAAAGGGAAGCUCUGGUCAUUGGCAUUGCCACGAGGGCAGUUGGGAAGGCGUUAGAAAUUUCAUAGCCCAAAGUACUAGGGAUGUAGUAAGACUCAUACCUUGAGACUGCCCUCGUACACAAGUUAUUUACAGGAGGCUGCUUAGCUUUGCACGUGACUUACUUCUCUUCCUUCAUAAAGCAAGUGUUUAUUAAUGACCCACUACUAAGAGACAAGCACUGCAUACCGGAAUGGGGUGAUUCUGUGACUAACCCAGGUAGGGACAGCUAUUGGUGUGAUUUUCAAGUGACUCAUCAAUAGUCCCAAUCUCGCCUUUCCGAAGAUUAUAUGAGGUCGAAAAUGCAGCUCUUACAAGAAAAAUCAUAUGUGGCUCACUAGCAUGGAAAGAGACCUGUUACUUUCAAAUGAAGUAAGGUUUAAGAAAGAGAAAACUAGUUCAAACCUAUAGAUUUAGAGGUGACCAAACCAUGCAGAGCAGUGCUGAAAUGGUAGUCAAACUGCUGGUGAGAGCUGUUUAUUAAUGAAAAUGACAGCAUGAAGUAGUGAACACUCCUAAAAGCCUUGUUCCUCAAAGUCUUAGAGACAGAUAUACCCUGUACACUUAACCUGGCAGAUAUUUCUGCCCCAACGCCUACCAACGACUUUGAGUUUCCACCCCCUCAAAGAGCGUUUUUCUCCAUUUGGAAAAGCUUCCAGUUUUCAAAAAAGAGGCCAGCUACAAGUGACUACUUGCUUUGUUGUACUUACCCCAACACACUUUAUUCUCACCAAGAUGAUGGAGCUCCACAGCCCCAUGGUCAGGCUCCCUGCUCAGCAGG
Long non-coding RNA from Lutra lutra (Eurasian river otter), 1071 nucleotides. RefSeq lists it as uncharacterized. The transcript is spliced from 3 exons. The record is from RefSeq and is a predicted model, not a curated record. Lineage: Eukaryota; Metazoa; Chordata; Mammalia; Carnivora; Mustelidae.